RNAcentral lists this ribosomal RNA (482 nucleotides) under uncultured bacterium. RNAcentral's name for it is "partial 16S ribosomal RNA". It matches the Rfam family "Bacterial small subunit ribosomal RNA", at positions 28 to 507 of the family's 1533-position model. The record is from RNAcentral.
GAUGAACGCUAGCGGCAGGCCUAAUACAUGCAAGUCGAACGAGAUUAAGAGGCUUGCUUCUUAUGAAAGUGGCGCACGGGUGCGUAACGCGUAUGCAACCUACCUUAAUCAGGGGGAUAGCCCGAAGAAAUUCGGAUUAAGACCGCAUAAAAACACAGGAUAGCAUUAUCCAAUGUUCAAAUAUUUAUAGGAUUAAGAUGUGCAUGCGUGUCAUUAGCUAGUUGGCGGGGUAACGGCCCACCAAGGCGACGAUGACUAGGGGAUCUGAGAGGAUGACCCCCCACACUGGUACUGAGACACGGACCAGACUCCUACGGGAGGCAGCAGUAAGGAAUAUUGGUCAAUGGAGGGAACUCUGAACCAGCCAUGCCGCGUGCAGGAAGACAGCCCUCUGGGUCGUAAACUGCUUUUAGUCGGGAAUAAACCUUUCUACGUGUAGGAAGCUGAAUGUACCGAAGGAAUAAGGAUCGGCUAACUCCGUG